UUACCCGGUAGUGUAACGGUAGCACAAGAGUUUUUGGUACUCUUUGUCAAGGUUCGAAUCCUUGCCGGGUAAU
This 73-nucleotide transfer RNA is filed under the name Limnoglobus roseus. RNAcentral describes it as "tRNA-Gln". It matches the Rfam family "tRNA". From Rfam's summary of the family: Transfer RNA (tRNA) molecules are approximately 80 nucleotides in length. Their secondary structure includes four short double-helical elements and three loops (D, anti-codon, and T loops). Lineage: Bacteria; Pseudomonadati; Planctomycetota; Planctomycetia; Gemmatales; Gemmataceae. The record is from RNAcentral.